GACGAACGCUGGCGGCGCGCUUAACACAUGCAAGUCGAACGGAAAGGCCUGCUUUCCCUUGUGGAUUGCGGGUACUCGAGUGACGAACGGGUGAGUAACACGUGAGUGAUCUGCCCCCAACUUGGGUAUAAGCCUGGGAAACUGGGUCUAAUUCCCGAUAGGACUGCAGGGUGGUGCCUGUGGUGGAAAACGAUUUUCUAGUGGUUGGGGAUGAGCUCGCGGCCUAUCAGCUUGUUGGUGGGGUAAUGGCCUACCAAGGCGGCGACGGGUAGCCGGCCUGAGAGGGUGGACGGCCACAUUGGGACUGAGAUACGGCCCAGACUCCUACGGGAGGCAGCAGUGGGGAAUAUUGCACAAUGGGCGGAAGCCUGAUGCAGCGACGCCGCGUGGGGGAUGACGGCCUUCGGGUUGUAAACUCCUUUCGACCGCGAGGAAGCCACCUGGUUGGAAGGGUGGUGACGGUAGUGGUAGAAGAAGCACCGGCUAACUACGUG
RNAcentral lists this ribosomal RNA (494 nucleotides) under uncultured bacterium. RNAcentral's name for it is "partial 16S ribosomal RNA". It matches the Rfam family "Bacterial small subunit ribosomal RNA", at positions 28 to 507 of the family's 1533-position model. The record is from RNAcentral.